This 442-nucleotide ribosomal RNA is filed under the name uncultured bacterium. RNAcentral's name for it is "bacterial SSU rRNA". It matches the Rfam family "Bacterial small subunit ribosomal RNA", at positions 958 to 1400 of the family's 1533-position model. The record is from RNAcentral.
AACGCGAAGAACCUUACCUGGGCUCGAAAUGUAGAGGACGCUACAAGAGAUUGUAGUUCCCGAAAGGGUCUCUAUAUAGGUGCUGCAUGGCUGUCGUCAGCUCGUGCCGUGAGGUGUUUGGUUAAGUCCAGCAACGAGCGCAACCCUUAUCGUUAGUUGCCAACGCGUAAAGGCGGGAACUCUAACGAGACUGCCUAGGUUAACUAGGAGGAAGGUGAGGAUGACGUCAAGUCCGCAUGGCCUUUAUGUCCAGGGCUACACACGUGCUACAAUGGUCGGUACAGAAGGCAGCGAAGCCGCGAGGUGGAGCAAAUCCUACAAAACCGAUCUCAGUUCAGAUUGCAGUCUGCAACUCGGCUGCAUGAAGUUGGAAUUGCUAGUAAUGGCGUGUCAGCAACAACGCCGUGAAUACGUUCCCGGGCCUUGUACACACCGGUAUCUC